Long non-coding RNA from Aegilops tauschii subsp. strangulata, 2377 nucleotides. RefSeq lists it as uncharacterized. NCBI's taxonomy places the organism in Eukaryota, Viridiplantae, Streptophyta, Magnoliopsida, Poales, Poaceae. The record is from RefSeq and is a predicted model, not a curated record.
AUUGCUGGUUCGAGUCUAUAAAAGGGAGACGUCCCAGAUUGGAAGACGCACAGAAAAAGCACUCACCUUAGUUCUUCUCUGUUUCACCGUCGGAGCCUCGCCAUCCCUUUCCUGUUGUGCUGCAGGACGGGGAGAGCAGUAAUCUCCGUUCCUCCUCCGGCUUGCUGACCUGCACGGGUGCCGGAGCAAUCAAUGUUCUGGGAAGUGUCUCUGCACGCUGCUCGCUGAUCUGCAUCACCACUUCCGCCUCUCUAGCUUCGUCAGGCUUCCACUUCAACACCUGCGUUUCUGUUAAGUAUGGAUCAGUCGAUUUCGCCCGGUGGCCGUGGCCAAUCGGUCUCGCCAGGAGGGAGCCAAAUCCGACAAUAACACAGCCGACUGUGCCGUUGCAGACAUAAGCAAGGCAGAGGUUUGACAGAUUCAUGUGCGUGGAGGUCGCUGACACCAAACAUCAUGGCGGUAUAGAGGGAUGGCCGGGGUUGACGGAGGCACGACAAAGGUGGAAGCUCGAGCAAGACGGGAUGAUGAGGUGGCACACUACAAUGCUCACCGGUCACAUGUGACGGUGGAGAUGGUGUGGGAUGGGCUGAGGGGCGGGGUUGACUGGUAUUGUUAGGUAAGAAGAACCAACAACGACUUGGGGAGGAAGAAGAUAAACCAUGGCUAGGGGAGAAAAUGCAGCAAUUGAAUUGAUACCCAAUGAUUUAAAGAGAAUCUCAUGGAAAUGUGACUCUUUUUCAAUCGCCUCAUCUUUAGCAGUCCCUUACUUCACAAUUUUUUAUAGGUCCGACGAGUGUGAUUUCGUAUAGAAGCCAAAGAGAAACCAAUCACUGUAAGCAUGGCAACGAAAGCAAAACCUCCCUCCAAUCUAGUUUUCCUCGCUCAUAUGUGUUUGAGCACUUAACUUUCAGUUAGCAACAUACUUUUAUGUAAAUCCUAUGUGUUUCAUGCUAUUUGGUUUAACUUCAGUGAUGGUUGGAUCGAAAGUAAUUUUGCUGGAUGGAAAAAAGAGAAGACGGGGCAGAUCUUGGAAAGCCCCUCCUCCCCCUCCCGUGAGCAACCCGGAGGGGAAACCCUAGCUGCCGCAAGCACUCCCCUCUCCCCUCCCUCCCAUCCCUCGCCGCCGCCGGCUCGCGCGGACGGGCGAAGCCCAGUCGGCGUCGGCGGUGGCGGGGCCGUUCUUCCCCUGCCCGAUGGCGGCCAACGCAGGCUGGUGAGGUCGGGCGGCGGCGCUAUGCUGGCGGAGGGCGCAACGACGCUGCGGUAGGCUGUGGCGACAGGGUCGGUGUUUGGCGGCGGUGUGAAGGGCUCCCUGGUGGUGGUGCUCUGCUCCUGGUGCGCAUGGAGGCGUGGCGGAGGCCACGGUCGGGGUGGCGCCCCCUAUCCAGCGGCGGAUGGUGGGCGCGGCGCGGAGGGGCGCCGCCUUGGCCGCGCGGGUGGCAUGCCGGUGGCGAGCGGGGCGCGUGCUCUCUGGGCCUCCUCGUCGGUCCGUGGAGCGGAUCUCUGCUGGUGGCCUUCUUCCUCAAUUUCCUCUCCUGCCUCGACUGUCGUUGCUGGUUCUUCCAUCCAGUGGCUGGUUGGGGAUGGGGUCAAAGAGCUUUGGAUUGGGGGAAUCCCUUGGCUGGCUGCUGCCACCAUGAUGCCGGCGGCGCCGAGGGCGUCGUUCCCCUUCCUGUAGGCGACAUCGAGAUCCUACCCUGCCCUCCACCUCCAAGUCCCGGGUAAAAACCCAAAAUCUCUGGAUUGGGUGGCGAUGGCGCUCCGGCGGCCUUUUUCUUCUUUAAGGUGCCACCUUGGGACUGUGGAGUGUUGGUUGGGGCUUCGAAGUUGGUGGGGGCCUACCGGACUCUACAGAGAUGCUCUGCUCGGCUGCUUGCGGUUGACGUCGGUCCUUGCCGGAGGUGUGGUGAUGUACAGGGUGCUGCUUUGCAAGAGGAGGUUGUCGUGCUGCCGUCCUCUCCCUUAUUACCUGUUGGUCCAGGUCGUACGAGCUCGGGGGUGAGUGGCUCUGCCUGCCGAUGGUGCGGCGUCCUCCGAUCCAGGACGAGAGGGCAGGGGGCCUUCUUUGGAGGCAGACACGGAUGACGGAACAACGACGGUGGCCUUAUGGGAGUUGAUGGAGCGUGAUUUUCCUCUAACGGCGGGUUGCUACCUUGUCUUGGUCAUAUCGAUUGCAGGACCGUGUUAGCCGAGGGUCUUGAUGUUCCAGCUCUUGGUGCAUUCAAACAUUGUUAGCGGCUCCUCCGAUGUCUUGUAUCUUUGCCGUUUUCUUUUCUUUUCUUUCCUGUUGUAAUGAUCGUUGUAUGGUGGGUGCUGGCUCUCUUUGGCCAAUGCUUUAUAAUCUAAUAAAACGGGGGGAAACCCUUUUUCGUCAAAA